GCCUUGCGCUAUUAGAUGAGCCUAGGUCGGAUUAGUUAGUUGGUGAGGUAAUGGCUCACCAAGACCGCGAUCCGUAACUGGUCUGAGAGGAUGAUCAGUCACACUGGAACUGAGACACGGUCCAGACUCCUACGGGAGGCAGCAGUGGGGAAUAUUGGACAAUGGGGGCAACCCUGAUCCAGCCAUGCCGCGUGCAGGAUGAAGGCCUUCGGGUUGUAAACUGCUUUUGUACGGAACGAAAAGACUCUUUCUAAUACAGAGGGUCCAUGACGGUACCGUAAGAAUAAGCACCGGCUAACUACGUGCCAGCAGCCGCGGUAAUACGUAGGGUGCAAGCGUUAAUCGGAAUUACUGGGCGUAAAGCGUGCGCAGGCGGUUAUAUAAGACAGAUGUGAAAUCCCCGGGCUCAACCUGGGAACUGCAUUAGUGACUGUAUAGCUGGAGUGCGGCAGAGGGGGAUGGAAUUCCGCGUGUAGCAGUGAAAUGCGUAGAUAUGCGGAGGAACACCGAUGGCGAAGGCAAUCCCCUGGGCCUGCACUGACGCUCAUGCACGAAAGCGUGGGGAGCAAACAGGAUUAGAUACCCUGGUAGUCCACGCCCUAAACGAUGUCAACUGGUUGUUGGGAAUUUACUUUCUCAGUAACGAAGCUAACGCGUGAAGUUGACCGCCUGGGGAGUACGGCCGCAAGGUUAAAACUCAAAGGAAUUGACGGGGACCCGCACAAGCGGUGGAUGAUGUGGUUUAAUUCGAUGCAACGCGAAAAACCUUACCCACCUUU
Molecule: ribosomal RNA, 779 nt
Filed under: uncultured bacterium
Lineage: Bacteria
Description: bacterial SSU rRNA
Rfam family: Bacterial small subunit ribosomal RNA
Source: RNAcentral